RNAcentral lists this ribosomal RNA (135 nucleotides) under Microtus ochrogaster (prairie vole). The record is from RNAcentral. Lineage: Eukaryota; Metazoa; Chordata; Mammalia; Rodentia; Cricetidae.
GUCUACGGCCAUACCACCCUGAACGCGCCCGAUCUCGUCUGAUCUCGGAAGCUAAGCAGGGUCGGGCCUGGUUAGUACUUGGAUGGGAGAAAUAGUGCCUCUUCUUCCUCCACUGUGGCAGGUCUUCGCUAGAGU